AUUGAACGCUGGCGGCAGGCCUAACACAUGCAAGUCGAACGGUAACAGGAAACAGCUUGCUGUUUCGCUGACGAGUGGCGGACGGGUGAGUAAUGUCUGGGAAACUGCCUGAUGGAGGGGGAUAACUACUGGAAACGGUAGCUAAUACCGCAUAACGUCGCAAGACCAAAGAGGGGGACCCUCGGGCCUCUUGCCAUCGGAUGUGCCCAGAUGGGAUUAGCUUGUUGGUGGGGUAACGGCUCACCAAGGCGACGAUCCCUAGCUGGUCUGAGAGGAUGACCAGCCACACUGGAACUGAGACACGGUCCAGACUCCUACGGGAGGCAGCAGUGGGGAAUAUUGCACAAUGGGCGCAAGCCUGAUGCAGCCAUGCCGCGUGUAUGAAGAAGGCCUUCGGGUUGUAAAGUACUUUCAGCGGGGAGGAAGGGAGUAAAGUUAAUACCUUUGCUCAUUGACGUUACUCGCAGAAGAAGCACCGGCUAACUCCGUG
This 490-nucleotide ribosomal RNA is filed under the name uncultured bacterium. RNAcentral's name for it is "partial 16S ribosomal RNA". It matches the Rfam family "Bacterial small subunit ribosomal RNA", at positions 30 to 507 of the family's 1533-position model. The record is from RNAcentral.